This 458-nucleotide ribosomal RNA is filed under the name uncultured bacterium. RNAcentral describes it as "partial 16S ribosomal RNA". It matches the Rfam family "Bacterial small subunit ribosomal RNA", at positions 338 to 795 of the family's 1533-position model. The record is from RNAcentral.
CCUACGGGAGGCAGCAGUGAGGAAUAUUGGUCAAUGGGCGAGAGCCUGAACCAGCCAAGUCGCGUGAGGGAGUACUGCCCUAUGGGUUGUAAACCUCUUUUGUCGGGGAGCAAAAGCCGGACGUGUCCGGCUGUGAGAGUACCCGAAGAAAAAGCAUCGGCUAACCCCGUGCCAGCAGCCGCGGUAAUACGGAGGAUGCGAGGGUUAUCCGGAUGUAUUGGGUUUAAAGGGUGCGCAGGCGGAUUUUUAAGUCAGCGGUAAAAUCGUGGGGCUCAACCCCAUCCAGCCGUUGAAAGUGGGGAUCUAGAGUGGGCGAGAGGUAUGCGGAAUGCGUGGUGUAGCGGUGAAAUGCAUAGAUAUCACGCAGAACCCCGAUUGCGAAGGCAGCAUACCGGUGCACAACUGACGCUCAGGCACGAAAGCGUGGGUAUCGAACAGGAUUAGAUACCCUAGUAGUC